GCUCCCAAUCUCGCACUCCCGCCUCUCUCCUCUCGUUCCCGCGCGAAGGCGAAAUGCUCCCGCCUGGCGAUUCUCCGCGCCCGCGCCCGCCUGCGCCUCUCCCGGCGGCGUCGCGUCGCCCGUCAGCGCCUCUCCCGGCAGCGGCGCCUCGCCCGCCGGCGCCUGUACCUGCAGCCCCUCGCGGCGGCAUCACGAUCGGCGGCGUCGCGGCCGGCGACGUCACGGCCGGCGGCGUCGCGCCCGCCGGCGGCUCGUCCGGCGGCAGCUGUUUCCUCCUCUUCCCUGAUUCCGCCGCCACCACGUUUUUAUCUGCCGCCGUACGGGAUGAACUGGCCGGCCUCUCCUCUGUGCCCCCCGGUGAUGGCUCCCUCCAUUGUAGGGUUUGCGCCUCCAAGUCCUACCCAUCCGCCUCGUCAACCCAGUGAGCAGAUCGACGAAGAAGUGCAGGAGGUGACCAUCCCAGACGCCGAUGGGACGGAUCCUGUCGAGGUCGACUCGGCCAGUGUUGAUUUGGGCCACGGAUUAUCUGCUAGUGAAGAGGAGUUCAACCGUGGAAGCUACUUUGGUGUGCCCGUGACUAAUUUUGUCAGUGCUCAAGGAAGCAUGGAGGAUGGGUAUUUUACAAACUUGAUGAAUGAGGGUGGCAAUACUUUCAAUUGGAGUGCUGAAGGUAGCCAACCCGAUUACCCGAAGAUCCAGUGCAUCAAGGUGGGGAAGGGGAAGCAUCUGCGAGACCUAACCAAAAAAGGUCCAAGAAUUUUAGUAUGCAGGAGGAUGUCUUGUUGGUGUCAGCAUGGGUCAAUGUUAGUAUGGAUGCUAUUCAAGGUGCCGAUCAAUCUCGGAGUGCGUACUGGAACCGUAUUUGUGAUUUUUUUCAUGCAAACAAAUACUUUAGUUCAGAUCGCUCCCAAAAUUCGCUCAUGCAUCGUUGGUCCACUAUACAAGAGUGUCUCAAUACGUUUGCUGGUUGUGUAAGUCGUAUCGAGAAUAGACCUCAAAGUGGUGCCAAUGCUGAGGACAAGCUUUUGCAGGCUGGGCUGUUGUAUACGAAGGAAGACGAAAAAAACAGGACUUUUCAGUUCAUGCAUUGCUACAAAUAUUUGAAGGAUCAGCCAAAGUGGAUUGAUUGGUGAAUUCACAAGGCAGGUCAAAAUAAUGCAAAUAAGAAGCAGAAGACCAAUGUGCAGUCUACACCUGCUACGUCUGCACCUUCAGGUCCUCAGAACUGUGUCCCUCAAGAGAAAGAGGACCCUAUUGCAGUUGAUGCUGUGCAGCCUUCGGGAAGACCUGCAGGGAGGAAGAAAGAGAGAAAAACAGCGUCAACGCUCAGAUCAAUCCAAAAUUGAUGCUUUGGAUCAUUUAUGGGCUAAGAAGAAAGAGGCCGAUGCUGAGAAGGAGCGCCAAAGAGAGGAGAGGUACAGAGCUGCACUUGCACUUGAACAACAACGGAUUAAUUUGGAGAAAGAAAAGUUGGAUUUUAAGAGGAUGAUAGAAGAAGAUAGACUUCUGAGGCUAGAUACAAGUGCGAUGUCAAUCGAGGAGCAAGAGUACUAUAAAAGUGUCAAGACUAGUAUUUUAAGUCGUCGUUCGGCUUCAACAUAAAUUUAGCUUAAAUUCCAUCAAUUAGCAAUUAAAUGUUCGAUGAGGUCCUCUUGUAGCUGAUUGUGAACUGCCUUGUCUUUAAUUUUUUCGUAAUUUGCGAGGAA
Non-coding RNA from Oryza sativa Japonica Group (Japanese rice), 1706 nucleotides. NCBI's taxonomy places the organism in Eukaryota, Viridiplantae, Streptophyta, Magnoliopsida, Poales, Poaceae. The record is from RefSeq and is a predicted model, not a curated record.